GGGGAGGGAGAUUAACCGAUUCAGAUCUAACGUUAGCAUUUUCUACUGCGGGGGUCUCACCAAUACUUUCAUUAGCUUCGUCUAAAUUAACCGCAUAUACUUCAUUUUUUUCUUCUAUACCGUAAUUAUCCUGAGCUGCUACAUAAUCCAUAUCGUAAGCAACUACACCUAUUUCUUCCUCAAAAGGUGUACCAAGCGGUACCGGAGGUGAAGACACACGAGUAUAUAUACUACUUGAACGACCUCUACCGCUAGUAAUUCGCUUUUUACUACCACUACCGC
This 282-nucleotide long non-coding RNA is filed under the name Capsicum annuum. RNAcentral's name for it is "long non-coding RNA (CANN_LNC014839)". Lineage: Eukaryota; Viridiplantae; Streptophyta; Magnoliopsida; Solanales; Solanaceae. The record is from RNAcentral.